GCCUUAACUACGGCCAAUGGCACUUGAUCCGUUUGGUCGCCAUGGAGAACUUUGCCAUGUGACGAUAAGACGGCUUGGAGGCGUCUGCUUUGUGCUCCACGUCACCGCAGCAUCACCACCGAAGGAACCUAUCACAUGAAAGAUGUAUGCCUAAUCACUGUGAACAUGGCGGUUGCUGUAAACAGACGUGGGACAGUUUCAGCUGUAGCUGUGAUGGAACAGGAUACACAGGAGCCACCUGCCACACAUCUAUCUAUGAGCCAUCCUGUGAGGCCUUCAAGCACUUGGGCAGGUCCUCUGACACCUACUGGAUCGACCCUGACGGCAGCGGACCCCUUGGACCCUUUAAAGUCAACUACAACAAGUGUGUGUGGGCAGGCAGGCAGGGAAUGGCUUUUUGCCUAUACAUAUGGCACAUGAAUGUGUGUGUGCUUGAAAGUUUGUAUAUUUGUGUGUGUGUGUGUGUGUAUCAAUUGUCUAGCCCCAGUGACCAGCGAGGGAAGAAAACUCCUGCCCUCCUCAUUCCUAACCUCAGACAACAGCACUCUUAACCUUCCAUACCUGGUGUUUCCAUGGGAACACAGUCAGAGUGACUGACAUUUAACGCAGUCACACAUAAACACUUGUACCCACAAUAAACAAAUGAAACCAACCAGUAAUGCAAACCUAAGAGUGCUCAAAUUGCUGAGUGACAGUUACUCCCACAAAUACUUUACUCCAUAAUACUCACUCGCACACACAAAUACACACACGCAAGCAUGCACGCACACACAGCAACAGUGUGGAAUAACUAGAUAUAGUGUGCCACAGCAGAGCAUGCAGGCAGAGCAAAGGCGAGACUUUUAAUGAAAUGUCACUGCACUCCGCUGACUGGCCCCUUAGUCACGCUGAAUAACACUCUCACACACACCUCACAAAUGUGAAGAGCUUCUCUCUCUCCGACACAUAC
Molecule: long non-coding RNA, 949 nt
Organism: Labrus mixtus (cuckoo wrasse)
Lineage: Eukaryota; Metazoa; Chordata; Actinopteri; Labriformes; Labridae
Exons: 3
Source: RefSeq, a predicted model, not a curated record